CCCUUAGAUGUUCUGGGCUGCACGCGCGCUACACUGAUACUUUCAGCGAGUCCACCACCUUGCCUGGGAGGGUGGGGUAAUCUCUGGAAAGUGCAUCGUGAUGGGGAUCGAUUAUUGUAAUUAUUAAUCUUCAACGAGGAAUUCCUAGUAAACGCAAGUCAUCAACUUGCAUUGAUUACGUCCCUGCCCUUUGUACACACCGCCCGUCGCACCUACCGAUUGAAUGGUCCGGUGAAGCCUCCGGAUUGGCGCGCACCUCGGUGCCGCCGAGAAGUUGGCUAAACCUUACCAUUUAGAGGAAGGUGAAGUCGUAACA
This 316-nucleotide ribosomal RNA is filed under the name uncultured eukaryote. RNAcentral's name for it is "partial 18S ribosomal RNA". It matches the Rfam family "Eukaryotic small subunit ribosomal RNA", at positions 1470 to 1796 of the family's 1831-position model. The record is from RNAcentral.